This 377-nucleotide ribosomal RNA is filed under the name uncultured bacterium. RNAcentral's name for it is "bacterial SSU rRNA". It matches the Rfam family "Bacterial small subunit ribosomal RNA", at positions 523 to 898 of the family's 1533-position model. The record is from RNAcentral.
AGACGUAGGUGGCGAGCGUUACUCGGAAUUACUAGGCGUAAAGCGUACGUAGGCGGAAGUUUAAGUCUGUUGUGUAAUCUCCAAGCUCAACUUGGAAACUGCAACAGAAACUGGGCUUCUUGAGUGAGGCAGAGGAAAACGGAAUUCCUGGUGUAGCAGUGAAAUGCGUAGAUAUCAGGAGGAACACCGGUGGCGAAGGCGGUUUUCUGGGCCUUUACUGACGCUAAAGUACGAAAGCUAGGGGAGCAAACGGGAUUAGAUACCCCGGUAGUCCUAGCCGUAAACGAUGAUAACUAGGUGUGGGAGGUAUCGACCCCUUCCGUGCCGACGCUAACGCAUUAAGUUAUCCGCCUGGGGAGUACGGCCGCAAGGUUAAA